GACGUAGGAUGCGAGCGUUGUCCGGAUUCAUUGGGCGUAAAGAGCACGCAGGCGGUUUGGCAAGUCGGAUGUGAAAACCCGGAGCUCAACUCCGGACCUGCAUCCGAAACUGCCCGACUAGAGGUAGGUAGGGGAGAUCGGAAUUCCUGGUGUAGCGGUGAAAUGCGCAGAUAUCAGGAGGAACACCGGUGGCGAAGGCGGAUCUCUGGGCCUUACCUGACGCUGAGGAGCGAAAGUGUGGGGAGCGAACAGG
RNAcentral lists this ribosomal RNA (253 nucleotides) under uncultured bacterium. RNAcentral describes it as "partial 16S ribosomal RNA". It matches the Rfam family "Bacterial small subunit ribosomal RNA", at positions 524 to 776 of the family's 1533-position model. The record is from RNAcentral.